UUAGAGUUUGAUCCUGGCUCAGGACGAACGCUGGCGGCAUGCCUAAUACAUGCAAGUCGAGCGGACUUGAUGAGAAGCUUGCUUCUCUGAUGGUUAGCGGCGGACGGGUGAGUAACACGUAGGCAACCUGCCCUCAAGUUUGGGACAACUACCGGAAACGGUAGCUAAUACCGAAUAGUUGUUUUCUUCGCCUGAAGAGAACUGGAAAGACGGAGCAAUCUGUCACUUGGGGAUGGGCCUGCGGCGCAUUAGCUAGUUGGUGAGGUAACGGCUCACCAAGGCGACGAUGCGUAGCCGACCUGAGAGGGUGAUCGGCCACACUGGGACUGAGACACGGCCCAGACUCCUACGGGAGGCAGCAGUAGGGAAUCUUCCGCAAUGGGCGAAAGCCUGACGGAGCAAUGCCGCGUGAGUGAUGAAGGUUUUCGGAUCGUAAAGCUCUGUUGCCAGGGAAGAAC
This 458-nucleotide ribosomal RNA is filed under the name Paenibacillus sp. PS4B-B502. Its description in RNAcentral is "bacterial SSU rRNA". It matches the Rfam family "Bacterial small subunit ribosomal RNA", at positions 1 to 450 of the family's 1533-position model. The record is from RNAcentral. Lineage: Bacteria; Bacillati; Bacillota; Bacilli; Caryophanales; Paenibacillaceae.